GCCGUAAACAAUUAAUUUACACCAAUAAGCGCCAGGGAAUUACGAGCAAUGCUUAAAACCCAAAGGAUUUGACGGUGUCCCACCCCACUAGAGGAGCCUGUUCUAUAAUCGAUGAUCCCCGAUAUACCCGACCAUUUCUCGCUUAUCAGUCUGUAUACCUCCGUCGAAAGCUUACCAUGUGAACGCCUGCAGUAGGCUUAAUGACCUAACACGUCAAUACGUCAGGUCAAGGUGCAGCUUAAGAAAUGGGAAGUAAUGGGCUACAAUUUCUAACUUAGAACAAACGAAAGACUGUAUGAAAUUACAAUCAUGAAGGUGGAUUUAGUAGUAAAAAAAAAGUAUAGUGUUCUUUUUAACCCGGCUCUGGGACGCGUACACACCGCCCGUCACCCUCUUCGAUAGUAUCUUAUCCCGUUCCUAACCCAUCAUUACAUUUUAGAAGAGGCAAGUCGUAACAUGGUAAGUGUACUGGAAAGUGCACUUGGUUUAU
RNAcentral lists this ribosomal RNA (490 nucleotides) under Lithobates clamitans (bronze frog). Its description in RNAcentral is "Rana clamitans (bronze frog) partial 12S ribosomal RNA". It matches the Rfam family "Bacterial small subunit ribosomal RNA", at positions 799 to 1533 of the family's 1533-position model. Lineage: Eukaryota; Metazoa; Chordata; Amphibia; Anura; Ranidae. The record is from RNAcentral.